GAUGAACGCUGGCGGCGUGCCUAAUACAUGCAAGUCGAGCGAACAGACGAGGAGCUUGCUCCUCUGACGUUAGCGGCGGACGGGUGAGUAACACGUGGAUAACCUACCUAUAAGACUGGGAUAACUUCGGGAAACCGGAGCUAAUACCGGAUAAUAUAUUGAACCGCAUGGUUCAAUAUUGAAAGACGGUUUUGCUUUAACUAAAAGUUGGAUCCGCGCCGCAUUAGCUAGUUGGUAAGGUAACGGCUUACCAAGGCGACGAUGCGUAGCCGACCUGAGAGGGUGAUCGGCCACACUGGAACUGAGACACGGUCCAGACUCCUACGGGAGGCAGCAGUAGGGAAUCUUCCGCAAUGGGCGAAAGCCUGACGGAGCAACGCCGCGUGAGUGAUGAAGGUCUUCGGAUCGUAAAACUCUGUUAUUAGGGAAGAACAAAUGUGUAAGUAACUAUGCACGUCUUGACGGUACCUAAUCAGAAAGCCACGGCUAACUACGUG
Molecule: ribosomal RNA, 497 nt
Filed under: uncultured bacterium
Lineage: Bacteria
Description: partial 16S ribosomal RNA
Rfam family: Bacterial small subunit ribosomal RNA
Source: RNAcentral